GAUGAAGAACGCAGCGAAAUGCGAUAAGUAAUGUGAAUUGCAGAAUUCAGUGAAUCAUCGAAUCUUUGAACGUACAUUGCGCCCCUUGGUAUUCCGAGGGGCAUGCCUGUUCGAGCGUCAUUAUAACCCUCAAGCUCAGCUUGGUGUUGGGGCCUGCUGCAGUGGCAGCCCUUAAAAUCAGUGGCGGCGCCAUCUGGCUCUAAGCGUAGUAAUUCUUCUCGCUAUGGAGUCCUGGUGGAUGCUUGCCAUCAACCCCCAAUUUUUCUAUGGUUGACCUCGGAUCAGGUAGGGAUACCCGCUGAACUUAAGCAUAUCAAUAAGCGGAGGA
This 328-nucleotide unclassified non-coding RNA is filed under the name soil metagenome. Its description in RNAcentral is "partial contains 5.8S ribosomal RNA, internal transcribed spacer 2, and large subunit ribosomal RNA". The stretch from base 1 to 120 matches the Rfam family "5.8S ribosomal RNA", at positions 35 to 154 of the family's 154-position model. The record is from RNAcentral.